Pongo pygmaeus (Bornean orangutan) is the source of this 1255-nucleotide long non-coding RNA. RefSeq lists it as uncharacterized. NCBI's taxonomy places the organism in Eukaryota, Metazoa, Chordata, Mammalia, Primates, Hominidae. The record is from RefSeq and is a predicted model, not a curated record. The transcript has 4 exons.
GUCUCCCUUCUCCUUUGGACUCAGCCACUGUGUUGUGAGGAAGCCUAGGCCACAUGGAGAGGCCACAUAGAUGUGUUCCAGGCAGCAGCCCCAGCAAAGGUCUCAAUCAACCACCAUAUGUGUGAGUGAUGGAACCUUCAGAUAAUUUUGCUUCCCAGACUUCAAGUCUUCCAGCUGGGGUCCAAGACAUAACAAGGCAGAGACAAGCCCUCCUGGAAUUCCCUACCCACAGAAACUUGAAAGCAGUGUAAAUGGCUCUUAUCUGAACCACAAUGAAUUCACAUAUUCAAGUUGGCUUCUUCGGAAAUUUCAGGCCACAAAUGGCAGUGAUGCGACCAGGAGCAGUAACACGAUUACAAGUCGCAAUUUAGGAAGGGUGCUCCAUCAUCAUUUCAUGAUUCUCACUACAGCCCAGACAGGCGGGCAGAGCAGUGUUCUUUCCCCGUUAAUAAAUGAAGAAGCUGAGCCUCAAACAGAUGAGGGGGCUUCCUGGGUUCACACAGCUCUAAAGUGCCACUUCCAUCUGGACAGAAGGAAUCCAGGUCAAGGCUGACGGGAGGAGCAGGAGCCAUUAAUGAGAGCAGACCUCAGAAGCCAACAGAGGUGAGAGGAGCACCAUCCACAGCCCCAUCCUCUGAAUGCUGUGGGAAGAAGUCCACAAAAUACCACCCCUUGGAGUGAGUCAGUAGCAGAGCCCUUGCUGCUGUCUGCAAAUACCCCAUCAAAACAUGUUUGGGGUGAUUCUGGGACCUGGUUUCAAUUUCUUUUCUGCCAGUCAGCAGUUGUGCUUGACUCACAAUUUGUUGCCAUCUCUUGAAUUAAACUCAGGAAAUAGGAUAAAGAUCAGAACCACAUUGUAAAAGCUUCCUUAUGGUUCCUUUUUUGCUAAGAUAAAUAAUGAGCAGCUCUGAUCCACCUCUCUGGAGAGCUCAGAGCACACUACCAGGAGCUCCUAGCCACAGAGUGAGCACAGGUGGCUGGUGUUCUCUUGAUGAGGAAAGACAGCAGUGUCCAAUCUACUCUGCCUUGCACGGAGCCCCAGGUGCUCUCCCGGACUGUGUUGCUACCUAAAGCACAUGGCAAUUGCAUGAUGCUAACCAGAGCAGCCCCCUCACUCAUUAGAAACAUCUGCUUUCCAUUAUUUACACAGGAAAAGUUUUCCUUUUUACUGAGCCUACCCAGUUCAAACUUAAGUGGGAUUUGCCAGCUAUCUGGCUAAUUUUAUGAACAAUAAUAAAGAUUGGUGAACACUUGG